UCCUGGUUAGCUCAGUUGAUAAAAACGCUCCACUGGAAAUAGAGAGGUCCCUGGUUCAAUACCAGGACCAGGCA
Molecule: transfer RNA, 74 nt
Filed under: Ixodes scapularis (black-legged tick)
Lineage: Eukaryota; Metazoa; Arthropoda; Arachnida; Ixodida; Ixodidae
Description: tRNA-Ser
Source: RNAcentral